UACGUAGGGUGCAAGCGUUAUCCGGAAUUCUUGGGCGUAAAGAGCUCGUAGGCGGUUUGUCGCGUCUGCUGUGAAAAUCCGAGGCUCAACCUCGGACUUGCAGUGGGUACGGGCAGACUAGAGUGUGGUAGGGGAGACUGGAAUUCCUGGUGUAGCGGUGGAAUGCGCAGAUAUCAGGAGGAACACCGGUGGCGAAGGCGGAUCUCUGGGCCAUUACUGACGCUGAGGAGCGAAAGCGUGGGGAGCGAACAGG
Molecule: ribosomal RNA, 253 nt
Filed under: uncultured bacterium
Lineage: Bacteria
Description: partial 16S ribosomal RNA
Rfam family: Bacterial small subunit ribosomal RNA
Source: RNAcentral